GAUGAACGCUGACAGAAUGCUUAACACAUGCAAGUCAACUUGAAUUUGGGUUUUUUAACUUAGAUUUGGGUGGCGGACGGGUGAGUAACGCGUAAAGAACUUGCCUCACAGCUAGGGACAACAUUUGGAAACGAAUGCUAAUACCUGAUAUUAUGAUUAUAAGGCAUCUUAGAAUUAUGAAAGCUAUAUGCGCUGUGAGAGAGCUUUGCGUCCCAUUAGCUAGUUGGAGAGGUAACGGCUCACCAAGGCGAUGAUGGGUAGCCGGCCUGAGAGGGUGAACGGCCACAAGGGGACUGAGACACGGCCCUUACUCUUACGGGAGGCAGCAGUGGGGAAUAUUGGACAAUGGACCAAGAGUCUGAUCCAGCAAUUCUGUGUGCACGAUGACGUUUUUCGGAAUGCAAAGUGCUUUCAGUUGGGAAGAAAAAAAUGACGGUACCAACAGAAGAAGUGACGGCUAAAUACGUG
RNAcentral lists this ribosomal RNA (468 nucleotides) under uncultured bacterium. RNAcentral's name for it is "partial 16S ribosomal RNA". It matches the Rfam family "Bacterial small subunit ribosomal RNA", at positions 28 to 507 of the family's 1533-position model. The record is from RNAcentral.